Molecule: ribosomal RNA, 252 nt
Filed under: uncultured bacterium
Lineage: Bacteria
Description: partial 16S ribosomal RNA
Rfam family: Bacterial small subunit ribosomal RNA
Source: RNAcentral
UACGUAGGGGGCAAGCGUUAUCCGGAUUUACUGGGUGUAAAGGGGGCGCAGACGGCAGCGCAAGCCAGGAGUGAAAGCCCGGGGCCCAACCCCGGGACUGCUCUUGGAACUGCGCGGCUGGAGUGCAGGAGGGGCAGGCGGAAUUCCUGGUGUAGCGGUGAAAUGCGUAGAUAUCAGGAGGAACACCGGUGGCGAAGGCGGCCUGCUGACUGCGACUGACGUUGAGGCCCGAAAGCGUGGGGAGCAAACAGG